UGGGCACUCUAAGGAGACUCCCGGUGACAAACCGGAGCAAGGUGGGGAUGAGGUCAAGUCAUCAUGGCCCUUACGACCUGGGCUACACACGUGCUACAAUGGUGGGUACAAAGAGUAGCCACCCCGCGAGGUGAAGCUAAUCUCAUAAAACCGAUCGUAGUCCGGAUUGCAGUCUGCAACUUGACUGCAUGAAGUCGGAAUCGCUAGUAAUCGUGAAUCAGAAUGUCGCGGUGAAUACGUUCCCGGGCCUUGUACACACCGCCCGUCACACCAUGGGAGUUGGUUGCUACCAGAAGUAGGGUAGUCGUAACCCAUGGAGGCCGGCUACCUACG
Molecule: ribosomal RNA, 333 nt
Filed under: Pseudomonas palleroniana
Lineage: Bacteria; Pseudomonadati; Pseudomonadota; Gammaproteobacteria; Pseudomonadales; Pseudomonadaceae
Description: bacterial SSU rRNA
Rfam family: Bacterial small subunit ribosomal RNA
Source: RNAcentral